RNAcentral lists this unclassified non-coding RNA (253 nucleotides) under uncultured bacterium. RNAcentral describes it as "contains 16S-23S intergenic spacer region". It matches the Rfam family "Bacterial small subunit ribosomal RNA", at positions 524 to 776 of the family's 1533-position model. The record is from RNAcentral.
AACGUAGGAGGCGAGCGUUAUCCGGAGUUACUGGGCGUAAAACGCGUGCAGGCGGAUCGAUAAGUCACUCAUGAAAGCUCCCGGCUAAACUGGGAGAGGUUGAGCGAUACUAUCGGUCUAGAGUGGAUGAGAGGUAAGUAGAAUUCCAUGUGUAGUGGUGAAAUGCGUAGAUAUAAGGAAGAAUACCAGUGGCGAAGGCGACUUACUGGCAUCCAACUGACGCUCAGACGCGAAAGCAUGGGUAGCGAACGGG